AAAAAAAAAAAAAAAAAAAAAAAAAAAAAAAAAAAAAAAA
Molecule: non-coding RNA, 40 nt
Filed under: Sus scrofa (pig)
Lineage: Eukaryota; Metazoa; Chordata; Mammalia; Artiodactyla; Suidae
Source: RNAcentral